This 369-nucleotide ribosomal RNA is filed under the name uncultured bacterium. RNAcentral's name for it is "bacterial SSU rRNA". It matches the Rfam family "Bacterial small subunit ribosomal RNA", at positions 525 to 896 of the family's 1533-position model. The record is from RNAcentral.
ACGGAGGAUCCAAGCGUUAUCCGGAUUCAUUGGGUUUAAAGGGUGCGCAGGCGGAAUGAUAAGUCAGUGGUGAAAUCCUACAGCUCAACUGUAGAACUGCCAUUGAUACUGUCGUUCUUGAGUACACUUGGAGUGGGCGGAAUGUGUCAUGUAGCGGUGAAAUGCUUAGAUAUGACACAGAACACCGAUCGCGAAGGCAGCUCACUAAAUUGUAACUGACGCUCAGGCACGAAAGCGUGGGGAUCAAACAGGAUUAGAUACCCUGGUAGUCCACGCCGUAAACGAUGAUCACUCGAUGUUGGCGAUAUACUGUCAGCGUCUAAGCGAAAGCAUUAAGUGAUCCACCUGGGGAGUACGAUCGCAAGAUUG